RNAcentral lists this ribosomal RNA (253 nucleotides) under uncultured bacterium. RNAcentral describes it as "partial 16S ribosomal RNA". It matches the Rfam family "Bacterial small subunit ribosomal RNA", at positions 524 to 776 of the family's 1533-position model. The record is from RNAcentral.
UACGUAGGGGGCAAGCGUUGUCCGGAAUCAUUGGGCGUAAAGCGCGUGUAGGCGGUUCGGUAAGUCGGCUGUGAAAGUCCAGGGCUCAACCCUGGGAUGCCGGUCGAUACUGCCGGACUAGAGUUCGGAAGAGGCGAGUGGAAUUCCCGGUGUAGCGGUGAAAUGCGCAGAUAUCGGGAGGAACACCAAUGGCGAAGGCAGCUCGCUGGGACGUUACUGACGCUGAGGAGCGAAAGCAUGGGGAGCGAACAGG